GAUGAACGCUGGCGGUAUGCUUAACACAUGCAAGUCGAACGGACUCUUCGGAGUUAGUGGCGGACGGGUGAGUAACGCGUGAGAAUCUGGCUUUGGGUUCGGGACAACCACUGGAAACGGUGGCUAAUACCGGAUGUGCCGAGAGGUAAAAGAGAAAUUGCCUGAAGAUGAGCUCGCGUCUGAUUAGCUAGUUGGUGAGGUAAAGGCUCACCAAGGCAGCGAUCAGUAGCUGGUCUGAGAGGAUGACCAGCCACACUGGGACUGAGACACGGCCCAGACUCCUACGGGAGGCAGCAGUGGGGAAUUUUCCGGAAUGGGCGAAAGGCUGACGGAGCAAUACCGCGUGAGGGAAGAAGGCUCUUGGGUUGUAAACCUCUUUUCUUAGGGAAGAACAAAAUGACGGUACCUAAGGAAUCAGCAUCGGCUAACUCCGUG
Molecule: ribosomal RNA, 435 nt
Filed under: uncultured bacterium
Lineage: Bacteria
Description: partial 16S ribosomal RNA
Rfam family: Bacterial small subunit ribosomal RNA
Source: RNAcentral